RNAcentral lists this long non-coding RNA (231 nucleotides) under Manihot esculenta (cassava). RNAcentral describes it as "long non-coding RNA (MESC_LNC010820)". The record is from RNAcentral. Lineage: Eukaryota; Viridiplantae; Streptophyta; Magnoliopsida; Malpighiales; Euphorbiaceae.
UGAUCAAUCAGAUAACAGGGGCAUAUCAGGCCAGAGACCCUACCAUGCAGAACUACCUAGCGAAGGCAAAGGCCAUAGAAGCCGAACUCAAGAGUCGGGGAAUUGCAGUUAGGUAUUAGAGAAUACCUCGGGAAGAGAAUGAAGAGGCAGACCUGCUCAGCCGAUUAUCUAAAAAGGAGCUAGAACAACUCCCUGACGAGGUAUACAUCCAACACAUUAGCACACCUGCCU